CGCGUAGGUGGUUCGAUAAGUCGGAGGUGAAAUCCCUCGGCUCAACCGAGGACCCGCGUCCGAUACUGUCGAACUUGAGUGCAGGAGAGGAGAGCGGAAUUCCCAGUGUAGCGGUGAAAUGCGUAGAUAUUGGGAGGAACACCGGUGGCGAAGGCGGCUCUCUGGACUGUUACUGACACUGAGGCGCGAAAGCUAGGGGAGCAAACGGGAUUAGAUACCCCGGUAGUCCUAGCCGUAAACGAUGGGCACUAGGUGUGGGAGGUAUCGACCCCUUCCGUGCCGCAGCUAACGCAUUAAGUCGCCCCGCUGGGGAGUACGGCCGCAAGGUUGAA
RNAcentral lists this ribosomal RNA (332 nucleotides) under uncultured bacterium. RNAcentral describes it as "bacterial SSU rRNA". It matches the Rfam family "Bacterial small subunit ribosomal RNA", at positions 568 to 898 of the family's 1533-position model. The record is from RNAcentral.